Molecule: non-coding RNA, 515 nt
Organism: Cherax quadricarinatus
Lineage: Eukaryota; Metazoa; Arthropoda; Malacostraca; Decapoda; Parastacidae
Source: RefSeq, a predicted model, not a curated record
GGCACGGGUCUCGAAGACGCCAGAGCUCCCUUCUAGGACCAGGCACCAUCUGAACAACACGUGCUGUGAUCAGCAGGCAGCGCUCCCACGUGUCUUCACAUAUGAGACCUGGGGAAAUCUGGUGGAGGCACCUCAACGUACCAUAGAUGUCCUCCUCCGUCAGGCCCAUACAGCUUGGAGGGUGAGCAGGACCAUUAUCCAUAAGUAAAAGGACCCUGAAUGGCAAUUAUUUUUUAAUGAGUUACUAUUUGACUGAUGUUGUUGGUCAACAACCAAGAGAACGUAUGAAAACCUGGACAUUUUUUCUCAAACACCUUGUUUGAAAACUGAUCUAUUCGACAAGUAAUGCAGUCAACAAUUGAGGUUCAACUACAGCGUUUACGUUUAAUAAAACAAAAACAAAAAUAAUGUACAAAAUAUUAUGCACAAUGCCUCGUAUUUCUUGUUUGGCUGGUCAUCAUUCGACUCCUGGAGUUUUAUACAGCAUGUUUUCAGCAACAUCUCAGGUAACUGCA